This 1445-nucleotide ribosomal RNA is filed under the name metagenome. Its description in RNAcentral is "bacterial LSU rRNA". It matches the Rfam family "Bacterial large subunit ribosomal RNA", at positions 1443 to 2925 of the family's 2925-position model. The record is from RNAcentral.
UUACAGUAUGACAGAACUGCGGGGACGCAGAAGGAGAGCACUACCUGGAAUGGAAUCCAGGGGCAAGCACAGGAGGGGUACGGCUGGAAAAACCGCCGUGCAACCCAAAGGUGUGACGCAUACCGAACUAAAGUAGGGAAAUGUGUGAGCCGGCUGCCGAGAGAAGCCGCUAUUGUUUGUACUGUACCCGUACCGUAAACCGACACAGGUGAAUGAGGAGAGAAUCCUAAGGCCGACGGAAGAAGCAUUGCUAAGGAACUCGGCAAAAUGACCCUGUAACUUCGGGAGAAAGGGUGCCUCGAAAGAGGCCGCAGAGAAUAGGCCCAAGCAACUGUUUAGCAAAAACACAGGUCUAUGCAAAACCGCAAGGUGAAGUAUAUGGGCUGACGCCUGCCCGGUGCUGGAAGGUUAAGGGGAGAUGUCAGGAGACGAAGCAUCGAACUUAAGCCCCAGUAAACGGCGGCCGUAACGAUAACGGUCCUAAGGUAGCGAAAUUCCUUGUCGGGUAAGUUCCGACCCGCACGAAAGGCGUAAUGAUUUGGGCGCUGUCUCGGCAAUGCAUCCGGUGAAAUUGAAGUGCCAGUGAAGAUGCUGGCUACCCGCGCCAGGACGGAAAGACCCCAUGGAGCUUUACUCCAGCUUGAUACUGGGAUUCGGUAUUGUAUGUACAGGAUAGGUGGGAGGCUGAGAAAUGGUGACGCCAGUCGCCAUGGAGCCGCUGUUGGGAUACCACCCUUGCAGUACUGGGUUUCUAACCAGCAGCCGUGAUCCGGCUGGGGGACAAUGUCAGGUGGGGAGUUUGACUGGGGCGGUCGCCUCCGAAAGGGUAUCGGAGGCGCUCAAAGGUUCCCUCAGAAUGGUCGGAAACCAUUCGAAGAGUGCAAAGGCAGAAGGGAGCUUGACUGCGACACCGACGGGUGGGGCAGGUACGAAAGUAGGACUUAGUGAUCCGGUGGUAUUAAGUGGGAAUGCCAUCGCUCAACGGAUAAAAGCUACCCUGGGAUAACAGGCUUAUCACUCCCAAGAGUUCACAUCGACGGAGUGGUUUGGUCGAUGUCGGCUCAUCGCAUCCUGGGGCUGUAGUAGGUCCCAAGGGUUGGGCUGUUCGCCCAUUAAAGCGGUACGCGAGCUGGGUUCAGAACGUCGUGAGACAGUUCGGUCCCUAUCCGGCGUGGGCGUAGGAUAUUUGAGAGGAGCUGACCUUAGUACGAGAGGACCGGGUUGGACUGACCUCUGGUGCACCGGUUGUCAUGCCAAUGGCACAGCCGGGUAGCCAAGUCGGGAAGGGAUAAACGCUGAAGGCAUCUAAGCGUGAAGCCCCCCUCAAGAUGAGAUAUCCCCCGCAUAAGCGGUAAGACCCCUUGAAGACGACGAGGUAGAUAGGGCAGAGGUGGAAGUGCAGUAGUGUAUGGAGCUGACUGCUACUAAUAGGUCGAAGGCUUAGC